Molecule: ribosomal RNA, 468 nt
Filed under: uncultured bacterium
Lineage: Bacteria
Description: partial 16S ribosomal RNA
Rfam family: Bacterial small subunit ribosomal RNA
Source: RNAcentral
GACGAACGCUGGCGGCGUGCUUAACACAUGCAAGUCGAACGGAAAGGCCCUGCUUUUGUGGGGUGCUCGAGUGGCGAACGGGUGAGUAACACGUGAGUAACCUGCCCUUGACUUUGGGAUAACUUCAGGAAACUGGGGCUAAUACCGGAUAGGAGCUCCUGCUGCAUGGUGGGGGUUGGAAAGUUUCGGCGGUUGGGGAUGGACUCGCGGCUUAUCAGCUUGUUGGUGGGGUAGUGGCUUACCAAGGCUUUGACGGGUAGCCGGCCUGAGAGGGUGACCGGCCACAUUGGGACUGGGAUCCGGCCCAGACUCCUCCGGGAGGCAGCAGUGGGGAAUAUUGCACAAUGGGGUGAAGCCUGAUGCAGCAACGCCGCGUGCGGGAUGACGGCCUUCGGGUUGUAAACCGCUUUCGCCUGUGACGAAGCGUGAGUGACGGUAAUGGGUAAAGAAGCACCGGCUAACUACGUG